This 253-nucleotide ribosomal RNA is filed under the name uncultured bacterium. Its description in RNAcentral is "partial 16S ribosomal RNA". It matches the Rfam family "Bacterial small subunit ribosomal RNA", at positions 524 to 776 of the family's 1533-position model. The record is from RNAcentral.
UACGUAGGGUGCAAGCGUUGUCCGGAAUUAUUGGGCGUAAAGAGCUCGUAGGCGGUUUGUUGCGUCGGCCGUGAAAACCUGCAGCUUAACUGUGGGCCUGCGGCCGAUACGGGCAGACUUGAGUUCGGUAGGGGAGACUGGAAUUCCUGGUGUAGCGGUGAAAUGCGCAGAUAUCAGGAGGAACACCGAUGGCGAAGGCAGCUCGCUGGGACGGUACUGACGCUGAGGCGCGAAAGCGUGGGGAGCAAACAGG